CACACACCUGUGCCGCUUUAGGAGUUGAUUUAUAGAGAGCACUCAGGAUCUCUCUGUAGGCAUUGUGGUCCAGUGUGGCUAGAGAGCAGGUAUGUUUUGUAGGAGUUAUGAGUCAAGGCUGACAAUGUUUUAAUCACAGGUAUUUUAAGUCACCUGUUGUCCAGACCUUGUCAGCUGAAUAGCCUGUUGUGCUAAAGGUUCACCACAGAGAAGGCAGUGGUUAGCGCUGAGUGGGCCUAAACAUCUGAUCUACAAAUGAGGUGUAGUCAGAGCUGGGUUGGGUACUUACCGCAUUGUGUGAGCAAGCCCUCACCAGAUUAAACCAUCAUAUGGAGGACACUUCACAUGAAUGCACUUGUGGAUUUUCACUGCGUGGCGUCAACCCUCCUCCGCCAAUGUAGGAGUGUCUC
This is a long non-coding RNA of Micropterus salmoides (largemouth bass), 410 nucleotides long. RefSeq lists it as uncharacterized. The record is from RefSeq and is a predicted model, not a curated record. Lineage: Eukaryota; Metazoa; Chordata; Actinopteri; Centrarchiformes; Centrarchidae. The transcript is spliced from 3 exons.